Non-coding RNA from Pelobates cultripes (western spadefoot toad), 1288 nucleotides. The record is from the annotation of a GenBank genome assembly. NCBI's taxonomy places the organism in Eukaryota, Metazoa, Chordata, Amphibia, Anura, Pelobatidae.
GGGCGCCAAAUUUUUCCUGUAUAAAAACAGGUACAGCGGAGAUGGACAGACAGCACCACUUGAGGAAGGCUUUAUCGCCGAAACGUGUUGUGGCACAUUUUAUGAAUAUUUUUCUGUUAUUGGUUUUUAUUUAUAUUCUUUUAUCUUGUAUUGAUAAACAAGUAUUAAUUUGAUCCUGUAUCCUGGACUAAUUGUACAGACUACAUCCAGGGAGGAUUCAUCUAGACCAACACAGAACGUCCUGCUCUAAAAGGUUUAUCUCCGCUACAAGCCUAUAGUCUGAGUCAGCUUUUUUAAGUGACUCAGCAACAUGUGAGUUUAACCAGUUACAUAUGGGCUUUGCGUACAUUUAUGACAAUAUUACCCUAUGGUUCUUUUAUGUCUUUUUAGAUAUAUGUCCAAGACAGUACUGGUAAACUUUUUAUACUGCAUGUAUUGAAUGCUCUCACCAUUAUUUUUAUUUGCACUUUGUAGAUUCUUGUGUGUUAAAGUGAUUCACACUAGGUGAUAGUAGCACCACGAUAUUAUUUGCACUUUUUUCCUAACUUCAACUCCUAUUUGUUACAGAUGAAAGCAGGUUCACAUUGAGCACAUAUGACAGACGUGACAGAGUCUGGAGAUGCCGUGGAGAAAGUUCUGCUGCCUGCAACAUCCUCCAGCAUUGCCGGUUUGGCAGUGGGUCAGUAAUGGUGUGGGGUGGCAUUUCUUUGUGCUCGCCAGAGGUAGCCUGACUGCCAUUAGGUACCGAGAUGAGAUCCUCAGACCCCUUAUGAGACCAUAUGCUGGUGCUGUUGGCCUUGGGUUACUCCUAAUGCAAGACAAUGCUAGACCUCAUGUGGCUGGAGUGUGUCAGCACGUCCUGCAAGAUGAAGGCAUUGAUGUUAUGGACUGGCCCUCCCGUUCCCCAGACCUGAAUCCAAUUGAGCACAUCUGGGACAUCAUGUCUUGCUCCAUCCACUAACGUCACAUUGCAGCACAGACUGUCCAGGAGUUGGCAGAUGCUUUAGUCCAGGUCUGGGAGGAGAUCCCUCAGGAGACCAUCCGCCACCUCAUUAGGAGCAUGUACAGGCAUUCUAGGGAGGUCACACACUACUGAGCUUCAUUUUGACUUGUUUUAAGGACAUUACAUCAAAGUGGGAUCAGCCUGUAGUGUGUUUUUCCCACUUUAAUUUUGAGUGUGACUCCAAAUCCAGACAUCCAUGGGUUGAAAAACCUGAUUUCCAUUUUUUCAUUUUUGUGUGAUUUUGUUGUCAGCACAUUCAACUAUGUAAUGAACAAAGUAUUUCAG